GUACAGUCUGACAGAUCGUAUAGAAUACAAUCUAAUGGAGCCCACCACUUGGGGAUAUUUAUUCUUCUUAUCCUUCUCGUCCAGACCUCCGUCUCCUCUGUUUCCCCCAUUAAUAUUCUCUCUCUCUCCGUCGCCAUUGUUUCUCCUCAAGUUCUUGCGGCAGUGUAUGAGUAGAUUGAUUUGAAGCCAUGAAGCUGCCGUAGCCCAGAUAAGAUCUGAUUGGAGACCGGAAUCGUAUAAAGCUACUGACUGGGAUCUCUAGGUCCCUCUUUUUUCCAAUAUCUUAGCGGGCCAUCAAUCUGUUCGCCGCCGAGGAAAGCAAAAAAGGUUAAUAUGGAUAGUGAGAGGGACAGCAUCCCGGGCAGUUUUAUGGCACUACUAAACAUGGUUGAGCAGCCAAUGUCAAAUUUGAAUCCACAGAACAAUCUGAAGUCAGUACCCGAAGAUAGUUCUUGCUUUUCUGAUAGACCUUAUUGCUCAGAAGACAAUGAUGUACUUUCGAGACCAAACUUAAGGGUGGACACUUACGAUUAUGCUGAUGACUCAAAUGAAGUCCAGUCCCGUCUUGAAUGUAUCAAAGACACCAUUGAAAUUCCAGAUAUGAUAUCUGGGCCUGAAAAUCUAGAUCAGGAUUACUUAUUUUCUGCAUACAAUGUUCACACUGAGGAGUCUGAUUCUAAUGAACGAUACCUUGAAGGAGGACAAGUUGGAGCUGUUGAACACGGAAUUAGAAGUUUUUGUGAAGACACUUCUGUUCAAAUGUUAAGGCCGGUUGUUGGUAUGAAGUUUUCAUCAAAGGCAGAAGCAUAUGACUUCUACAAUACUUAUUCUUGGGUGCUUGGUUUCAGUAUUAGAAAUGGUGAUAAUUUUAUUAAUUCCAAAGGCGUACAAACUAUGCAGGAAUUAAUUUGCCAACGAGCCGGAAUCAACAAGACUACUAAAUAUGCCACUACUAGAUAUGGUUGCAAGGCAACACACAGGGUAAAUCUUAAUGAUAAUUCAGAAUGGUAUGUCAAAGUUUUUAGGCAGGAACACAAUCACUCCCUUGUCGAAUCUUGCAGUGAGAAAAAGCACCUGCAUUCACAUCAACAUAUUGACAAGCCAAUCAGAGAUUUAAUAAAGAAUCUUCGGGAGAAUAAUGUAUCACUCACAAGGGUUAAUUCUAUAGUAGCAGGUUUCUAUGGAUCAACAAAGAAAGUACCAUUCUGUAAGCGCAAGUUGCGUACUGUUUGUUCUCAGAUUGCAAGUGAAACCCUUCAGGACGACAUUGCUAAGACACUGGAGAAUUUCCGUGAUAUGAUAGCAAUGGACGAUAGAUUUUCUUUCUGUGCAUAGGUGGAUGAUGACAACGGGCUAAAGUCACUAAUGUGGACUACUGGGAGGAGUAGAUCAUUAUAUAAUCACUUUGGAGAUGCAAUAACUUCUGACACUACUUAUGGAACAAACAUCUACAAAAUGCCAUUUGGUAUGUUUGUAGGAGUUAGUAACCACUUUGAGAGUGUAAUAUUCGCUGGAGUGUUCUUGACUAAUGAGAAGGGAGAGAAUUUCUGUUGGGCUUUUAAGAAAUUUGUUGCUAUGAUGGGUGGAAAACACCCAGUAACUAUUCUUAUAGAUCAGGCUAGAGACAUUGGAAAUGCAGUCCGGAAAGUUUUCACUCAUGCAGAACAUAGAUGGUGCAAAUGGCAUGUUCUUAAGCGGGCUCAUGAACUUCUUGGUGCUGUCUAUAGCAAGCAGAAAACAUUUGCCGAUGAUUUCCAUAAGCUAGUGAACCACAUGCUAACUGUAGAAGAGUUUGAAUAUGCCUAGAAUUUUGUUACGGUAAAAUAUUGUUUGCAGGAACAUCCUUUUAUGACUAGAGCCUACGAGUGUAGGCACAAAUGGGCUAAACCAUAUUUUAGCAAAGUUUUCUGUGCUAGAAUGUGUAGCACUCAACGUAGUGAGUGUGCAAACUUUAUGCUGAAGAUACAUACUGUAUGCAAUUCUUCAAUAAAUGCAUUCAUUACCCAGUACACUAAGCUUAUAGACGAUCGUGAGAGUUGUGACGCAGAUGCCGAAAGGAAAAACAAACAGAAAAUAAUUAAGGUCCAUUUUGGAUAUCCAAUGGAGAAGCAUGCUUCAGUUAUCUAUACUGCAAAGGUUUAUAAUCUAUUCAAGAAGGAGCUCAUUAAGUCAACAUCAUACCUUGUGCUUCCUAGCAUGGAGGAACAUACUUUUGUUGUGAAGCACGUCCAGGCCGAGUCUAGGGAAUCGUGGUCAAAAGUAAUAUACAAAAUCAAAGUAGACGAGUCUAUUGGAUAUUACACUUGUGAAUGUGGACUUUAUGAACAUUUUGGUGUUCUUUGUAGCCACGUCCUAGCGAUUUUUGUGAACCGAGGUGUCUGCAAAAUUCCAGAUUUGUCAUAUAAUGAAGCGGUGGACAAAGCAAGCAAGGUCAUCUAGUUUCAACAAUAAGUUGGAGAAAUAUAUCGGCGACACGAACGAGGAAUCGAGAUCAUUUAGGCACAAGCUAUUAUAUUUUGCUGCAAUAGAUAUAGUGAAUGAAGCUAAAAAUGAUCAAGAUGCUUUUGCAAUUGCAAAGUCUAAUUUUAGUCGCUGCAAGAAGGAAUUACAUGAGCACAGACUUUCAAAGACAACUACAUGCCAGGUCGGAUAUGGAUCAAUCCCUGAACAUGAAGUAACUACACAUUCUGGUGUUCAACAGGAAGUCAAUGAAGUUGUUGAUUCAGAUCUUCAAAUAGUUGAUACCGCAAACAAUAUUUCAAUUCCAGUUUCUUCAAUUCUUGCGCCUGCUAUAAUGAAGAAGAACGGUAGACCUUCAAAUAAGUGGUACAUGUCUAGCAUGGAAGCAAACAUCAAGAAGAAGAAACGUGGGAAAACACCGGACCAGAAGACCAAACAUCCGGGUGGUGUGUUGGGUGUUGUCCAGUCAAGGUUUUGCAGCAAAUGUCGAUCGCCAACACACACAAUCAAAAAUUUUCCUCAGUUAUAUUUACCUUAAUGUUAUUUGUUUUCGUUUUGUUGUUGCAAUGAAACUAGUAAUGAAGUGUGUACUGAUUGGAAACUUAAAUGUAUGAAUCCCUGAACUAAUUUUCUUGUUCUUACCGUUGUUAUUUAUAAUUGCCUUAGUAUUAUGUCGUUAAUUAAAGUUUAACACAUCCUACAUAUUUGGAUUAACCUGAACGUUUUAAUGGUGUGCUUUGUUUUUUGAACGAUUUGUCAUUAUGCUAUAGCGCC
This 3234-nucleotide ribosomal RNA is filed under the name Triticum aestivum (bread wheat). RNAcentral describes it as "partial small subunit ribosomal RNA". Lineage: Eukaryota; Viridiplantae; Streptophyta; Magnoliopsida; Poales; Poaceae. The record is from RNAcentral.